This 466-nucleotide ribosomal RNA is filed under the name uncultured bacterium. Its description in RNAcentral is "partial 16S ribosomal RNA". It matches the Rfam family "Bacterial small subunit ribosomal RNA", at positions 28 to 507 of the family's 1533-position model. The record is from RNAcentral.
GAUGAACGCUGGCGGCGUGCUUAACACAUGCAAGUCGAACGAUGAAGCCCAGCUUGCUGGGCGGAUUAGUGGCGAACGGGCGAGUAACACGCGAGUAACUUGCCCUUAACUCUGGGAUAAGCCUGGUAAACUGGGCCUAAUACAGGACAGAAGCGUCCACCGCACGGAGGGUGUUGGAGAGAUUUAUCGGUUUUGGCUAGACUCGCGGCCUAUCAGCUUGGUGGUGAGGUAUUGGCACACCAAGGCGUUGACGGGUAGACGACCUGAGAGGGUGACCGGCCACCCUGGGCCUGCGACACGGCCCAGACUCCUACGGGAGGCAGCAGUGGGAAGUAUUGCACAAUGAGCGCAAGCCUGAUGCAGAGACGCCGCGUGAGGGAUACCCGCCUUCGGGUUGUAAACCUCUUUCUAUGGAGAAGAAGCGAAAGUGACGGUACCUGCAGAAGAAGCACCGGCUAACUACGUG